This 198-nucleotide unclassified non-coding RNA is filed under the name uncultured Phanerochaete. Its description in RNAcentral is "sequence contains ITS2". Lineage: Eukaryota; Fungi; Basidiomycota; Agaricomycetes; Corticiales; Corticiaceae. The record is from RNAcentral.
UAUUCUCAACCUUCAUAACUUUUUGUUAUCGAAGGCUUGGAUUUGGAGGCUUGUGCUGGCUUUUGCGAGUCGGCUCCUCUGAAAUGCAUUAGCGUGAGUGUAACGGAUCGCUUCGGUGUGAUAAUUAUCUGCGCCGUGGUCGUGAAGUGACAUAAGCUUGCGCUUCUAGCCGUCCUUCAGUUGGACAAUAUCUUUGAC